UACCAGCACCCCGAGUGGUCGGGACGUUAUUGGGCCUAAAGCAUCCGUAGCCGGUUCUACAAGUCUUCCGUUAAAUCCAGCUGCUUAACAGAUGGGCUGCGGAAGAUACUAUGGAGCUAGGAGGCGGGAGAGGCAAGCGGUACUCGAUGGGUAGGGGUAAAAUCCGUUGAUCCAUUGAAGACCACCAGUGGCGAAGGCGGCUUGCCAGAACGCGCUCGACGGUGAGGGAUGAAAGCGUGGGGAGCAAACAGG
RNAcentral lists this ribosomal RNA (252 nucleotides) under uncultured bacterium. RNAcentral describes it as "partial 16S ribosomal RNA". It matches the Rfam family "Archaeal small subunit ribosomal RNA", at positions 474 to 727 of the family's 1478-position model. The record is from RNAcentral.